GCGCCCGUGGCUCAAUUGGAUAGAGCAUCUGGCUUCGGACCAGAGGAGUGGGGGUUCGAGUCCCUCCGGGCGUA
Molecule: transfer RNA, 74 nt
Filed under: bacterium SM23_57
Lineage: Bacteria
Also listed under: 1 other name
Description: tRNA-Arg
Rfam family: tRNA
About the family: Transfer RNA (tRNA) molecules are approximately 80 nucleotides in length. Their secondary structure includes four short double-helical elements and three loops (D, anti-codon, and T loops).
Source: RNAcentral